UUCUCUCUGUCUCUACCAUUAUUGAUUGAUCGUUCAGUUGUGAACUUGCUACGGCGAUUCGCUCCGUAGAUCCGUGGACUUGCUACGGCGACUUGCUCAAUCAACUUACUUUGACUUUCUAUGGCCACUGCUGAGGUAGGCAGCAUGAAAAUGGGCAUCACAACUCAGCUGUUCAUUUGUUUUCUUUUGCAGAGGAAGAUUAAGUCCUGACAUAUAAGUCUCAUGACUCUUAAAUUUGUUUUGUAUAAUUUUGAACAUAUUUUCUCUAGUAUUUUUUCUUAUUGAUGCCUACUCAAUUCAAAAAUGAAUUCUGAAUGAUUUUUUCUACUGCUGUCCUUAUUUAUUUUCAGAGUCCAUUGUUAUUCAUAAUUAAUAUGGUGUUCUAUCAUUUGAUCGAAGUCAUAUCUUUAUUCUAUUCAAAGUUUUCUAUUUUUAUUUAGUUUGCUCUUGUAUUCUAUUUACUUGGUCACAAUCAAUGAAAUGAUUACAUCACAUUUCCAUAUGUAAAAGUUGACUGGCUCACUGGUUAGCUUUCUAAAUUCUUACUUAUUCUGUUAUUUUUUUUUUAAAAUAUAUAUAUAUGUUCUGAUUAUAUCAUUGUAUUGCUUUGUUAUGGUAUUAUUGUCAAAUCUGAAUUAAAGCCUUGUUUUGUUUGUGUUCAAUAUGAUCAGGUACAGAUUUUGAUUGGCUUGGAGUUGUUUGAUUCAAAGAUUGGGAGCACUUUGUUAUCUCUCAGAUAAACUUCACUCAGUGCCACUCGUUUGCAAGUCAUGGAGCAAAGUUAUUUUUGGGCCUGAUUGUUGGCAUGACAUAGAUUUUGAAGGGUUGGAUGACUUACUAGAUAUUAAUGAUUCUCAUAAUGCUUAACUGUUUACACAAAACUUUGAAGAAUUAAGAAUCUCUGAAGUCAUUUAGUCAAUGCAUUUUCCACUAUUAUAAGGCUUACCUUUCAAUACUUUGCUAUAAAGAUAUAUUGACAUUUUUAAGGCUGAUUGAGUUAGAGUUUGA
Long non-coding RNA from Humulus lupulus (European hop), 1008 nucleotides. RefSeq lists it as uncharacterized. NCBI's taxonomy places the organism in Eukaryota, Viridiplantae, Streptophyta, Magnoliopsida, Rosales, Cannabaceae. The record is from RefSeq and is a predicted model, not a curated record. The transcript has 3 exons.